Caenorhabditis elegans is the source of this 81-nucleotide non-coding RNA. The record is from Ensembl. Lineage: Eukaryota; Metazoa; Nematoda; Chromadorea; Rhabditida; Rhabditidae.
AGGUGAGUGUAGAUUGAUGAAAACGUCAAACGAUUUUGCGUUUAGAUUGCAUACAACUGCUGAAAAAUCAAACUCCGCAGA